CAUCCCUGGGCUCAGUGACUCUUGCUUUGUCUACCUUAUUUGAACCUUUUGAGGUUCAAAUAAGAUUGUGAAGAUUUUUUUUUUUUUUAAGAGAAGAAAUAGAAAAAUCCUAACAAUAAAUGUUUAACUGGCCUCUCAUACAGACAUUUCGGAAUGAGUUUACACAUUCCUGGGUCAAAAAAAUGUCUGGCCAAAAGAGAUUAAACAAAGAAAUGUCAAGUACAGACACUGCAUCAGGGGCCAGUGAAUACUUUGGUGGAGAGCCAGGCUUAUCUUGUUGGAGGCCUCCUAAACUCAGGCAUGGAGUCGGACAGCCCUCGCUUCACACAGCUAAGUAGCAUGCUGGCCCACAGCUGACACUGUGGGGCCCGCUGCAGAGAAGCUCAUGAACAGCCUUGAGUGAGCGCCAAUGUUUUCAUUUGGUGGUGCCUCCUCUCCUGUUCCCACACCAGCCUCUGGUACAUGGCGGCCCUUCGGGAGGAUUUGUUGGAAAAGACUGGUACCAGUUUCAGGAGCAGCAGCGUCCACGAGGGCGCUUUCCCUGCUUCCCCCAUGAAAUCGCCCUCAUCCAGGGCAGACCAACAUUUCUGUUUUAGUAGACUCCUAGUGGAACUGAUCCAGGUGUUUGGACGGAGCUGGUCUUGCUCCCCACUCCUCUCUCUCCAGAUCUCUGAAACCAUAGGUCUCACCAGACUGAGCUGUGUCCAGGAGGUGACCACGUUCCCCCCAUCCCAUCCCAUGCCUGUCUGAAACACCACCAAGAAGAUGGCAUGGGGGAGUGGGGGGGGGGAAGGCUACCCUGGACCAGAAAGCCCAGGCCCAGAGACUGGGAGGGGAUGUGCCUGAGGGGGUGGGGAGGAGAGGGCAAAAUUCCAGAGACAAGAAUCCUCUAUGGAGACAGCACGCUGGG
This is a long non-coding RNA of Meriones unguiculatus (Mongolian gerbil), 910 nucleotides long. RefSeq lists it as uncharacterized. The transcript has 3 exons. The record is from RefSeq and is a predicted model, not a curated record. Lineage: Eukaryota; Metazoa; Chordata; Mammalia; Rodentia; Muridae.